This 728-nucleotide ribosomal RNA is filed under the name uncultured Tropheryma sp. RNAcentral's name for it is "bacterial SSU rRNA". It matches the Rfam family "Bacterial small subunit ribosomal RNA", at positions 105 to 846 of the family's 1533-position model. Lineage: Bacteria; Bacillati; Actinomycetota; Actinomycetes; Micrococcales; Tropherymataceae. The record is from RNAcentral.
GGUGAGUAACACGUGAGCAACCUGCCCCUAACUUUGGGAUAACUUCGGGAAACCGGGGCUAAUACCAAAUACGACCCAUGAGGGCAUCCUCUGUGGGUGGAAAGAAUUUCGGUUGGGGAUGGGCUCGCGGCCUAUCAGCUUGUUGGUGGGGUAACGGCCUACCAAGGCAUCGACGGGUAGCCGGCCUGAGAGGGCGAUCGGCCACACUGGGACUGAGACACGGCCCAGACUCCUACGGGAGGCAGCAGUGGGGAAUAUUGCACAAUGGGCGCAACGCUGAUGCAGCAACGCCGCGUGGGGGAAGGAGGCUUCGGGUUGUAAACCUCUUUUGGCAGGGAAGAAGCGAAAGUGACGGUACCUGCAGAAAAAGCGCCGGCUAACUACGUGCCAGCAGCCGCGGUAAUACGUAGGGCGCGAGCGUUGUCCGGAAUUAUUGGGCGUAAAGAGCUCGUAGGCGGUUUGUCACGUCUGCCGUGAAAAUCCGAGGCUCAACCUCGGGACUGCGGUGGGUACGGGCAGGCUAGAGUGCGAUAGGGGAGAGCGGAAUUCCUGGUGUAGCGGUGAAAUGCGCAGAUAUCAGGAGGAACACCGAUGGCGAAGGCAGCUCUCUGGGUCGCUACUGACGCUGAGGAGCGAAAGCGUGGGGAGCGAACAGGAUUAGAUACCCUGGUAGUCCACGCCGUAAACGUUGGGCGCUAGACGUGGGGGUGGUUCCACCGCUUCCGUGU